UGCAAGCUACCACAGCCAGAGGCUGGGUUCCUUCUAAAUGGUGGGGGAGUGAGAAGCCUGUGGGCCAUGGAGCUCUGGGAAGCUUCCAGAACAUCAGGCUUGAGCCGCCCUGGCCACAUUCAUGUGUUCCACUGCCACGUGUGCCAGUGACUACUGUCGGGAUGUGCCAGGUCUAGGACAUUCCCACCGCUGCGGAAAACUGCGCUGCUUCUCCUGUGGCUGCUUCUGCCACGUGGCCUUGAAGGAAACCCACGCUCCAGGGAGGCUGGGCAUUGCCUGCCCCUGGACCCCAGUCGGAGUCCCCCCUGGUGGCUGCCUGGGCCUCAGCCACGGCCCCUGAGCAGCUUCCAGCAUCCCGAAGGCUCUGCCCCAGGUCCGAGGCCAUUCCACGGUCGCUCCCUGCUUCCUCUCCUCCUCCGCUCCCCUUGCUUGUGUCCUUGGCAAUGCCCUGCCCCAGUUUCUGCCCCAGAGCCGCUGGCCAGAAAUGGCUGAGGUUCGUAGCUGGAGGAAGUGGGCCUGGGCUGACGAGGUGGCACCACUUUGUCCUGGAACAUCCCGCCCCUUGGCCUGGGUUCCGCUUGGGAAACAGGCGAGGUUCGAAAGGUGAGUUUUUAGAAUUGUCCAAUGGCAAGCUGUGACAGUUGUGUGUACCCUGGAGCUCAUCCCACCGUGGAAAACUCUGGGAAUGUCUGUCUCCACAGUCCUCGGCAAGCGGCCCCAAUAGUGGCAUUGUUUCAAGCUUUUGGAAUAUUGUUUUUGGGAAAUAAAGUGACUCCUGCUCAUUUAGCUGUGCCAACUCACUUGUUUGUCUUAUUCUUUUUGCUCAGCAGGUGGCAUUUUUGUUCAGUGAUUUUAUUUGUAUCCGCCCGUGUUCAUCAACUAUGACAUAUUAAUCAUGCAAAUUAGGAUAUGAUUAAUGAAGGAAAAAUUAAUUCCGCCACUGCAUCUGGGUCUGCUGUGACAGCUUAGUGAAUGCCCUCAUUCUCUGAUGCCAUCAGCAACUUCUCCAGGGCCGCUGCCGAUUGAUAUAUUAAUGUUUAGGGUAAAGGUUAGGGACCGAAGCCCAGAGAGACUUUCCUCUCCAGGGCUGGUGUUACAAGCACAUAUUUGCCUGACAGUGCACAUUUUUGAGACAGCGUGUUGCUAAACCCCGUCCUCCUUCCCACUGUGUGAACAGUUUGUAGGAGGAGGGAGUUCGCUCUGUCUUUCGGUGUCUUCUAGACUGAAGCCCACUGUGUCCAGGGCAAGCUCCCCGACCAACUCUGACUCUUGCUGUUUCCAAGGUCCCAGCUUCUUGUUUUCCAGAUGCUAUUUGCAGACCACGCAGUGACCCAUUCGUCCUUGUACUGCUGGGUUAGGGUCUCCCUGACCUAGCUGGUCUCAGCAAGUGGCGUCCAUCGUGGGGACUCAAAUCCAGGUCGAAGGGUUGCCAGAACAAUGGUUGGAGUGGAAAACUAGCUGGAGGACACUCGAGUACUCUUAAAGCAAUCCCUGUGGCCAAAAUCAACAGCCGAUUUGGAUACCAUCAAGACACCUGAAACCUUAUCAUGAGCCAGAUGCAGAGGAAGAGAUUCCAGGAGGAUCCCGAGGACCCCCGGUUGCAGCCAUGUCAAGACUGACGCUGCGGAGGACCCCAACUGUCACGAGCAACACCCAUCGAACACAGCCACCCACCUGGGGACAGAACAGGAAGCUGUCACAGAUGGCGGAAGAAAACCUGAGGAAAGCGGGACAACCAGUCACAAUGAAUAAUUUAAUGAUAGCUCUGAUAGCGGUUAUCACCACCGCCUCUGCAGAUGUGGAUCCUGACUCCUGCAAGAAGUAGCUCACCGUGACAAAGCUGCCUUUGCUUUUAUCGAUUUGCAAAUCAGAGAAGGGGGACAUAUUGGGAGCAGGCCCCCCAAAAUCUGGCCAUAAACUGGCCCCAAAACUGGACUGGCCAUAAACUGGCCCCAAAACUGGACU
RNAcentral lists this long non-coding RNA (1965 nucleotides) under Homo sapiens (human). RNAcentral describes it as "HSALNT0344327". The record is from RNAcentral. Lineage: Eukaryota; Metazoa; Chordata; Mammalia; Primates; Hominidae.